UGAGGAAUAUUGGUCAAUGGGCGCAAGCCUGAACCAGCCAUCCCGCGUGAAGGAUGAAGGCCCUAUGGGUCGUAAACUUCUUUUAUACACCAAGAAAAAGCAGGACGUGUCCUGCCCCGACGGUAGUGUAUGAAUAAGCAUCGGCUAACUCCGUGCCAGCAGCCGCGGUAAUACGGAGGAUGCGAGCGUUAUCCGGAUUCAUUGGGUUUAAAGGGUGCGUAGGCGGCUUUUUAAGUCAGUGGUGAAAUCUUGCCGCUUAACGGUAAAGUUGCCAUUGAUACUGAGAAGCUUGACUACAAUUGAGGUAAGCGGAAUGUGUAGUGUAGCGGUGAAAUGCGCAGAUAUUACACAGAACAACGAUUGCGAAGGCAGCUUAAUAAACUGUCACUGACGCUGAUGCACGGAAGCGUGGGGAGCGAACA
This 422-nucleotide ribosomal RNA is filed under the name uncultured bacterium. RNAcentral's name for it is "bacterial SSU rRNA". It matches the Rfam family "Bacterial small subunit ribosomal RNA", at positions 355 to 774 of the family's 1533-position model. The record is from RNAcentral.